GGGGUUACAACUUGGGGAUUCGAUUGGAUGUACAUGUUUUUGGGGGACAUGCACUUACUGUCUUUUCUAAGAGGGCAUCAUGGUGUACAAAUUCUUAAGCAUGAUGAUUGGAUGUUUUGGUGGUGUUGAUCCAGACGACAUUUCAGUGUCUCGCAGAAUAUCGACAUGCAUAAGCUAAUCAAACCAUCCAUCUGAAUUACUAUCAUUAUGAAGACGAGUUAUAGAUGAUAUGGGAGAGA
This 239-nucleotide long non-coding RNA is filed under the name Elaeis guineensis (African oil palm). RNAcentral's name for it is "long non-coding RNA (EGUI_LNC008647)". Lineage: Eukaryota; Viridiplantae; Streptophyta; Magnoliopsida; Arecales; Arecaceae. The record is from RNAcentral.